AACAUUUCAGCAACGGAUCUCUUGGCUCUCGCAUCGAU
This 38-nucleotide ribosomal RNA is filed under the name Rhizopogon sp. SNF38. Its description in RNAcentral is "partial 5.8S ribosomal RNA". The record is from RNAcentral. Lineage: Eukaryota; Fungi; Basidiomycota; Agaricomycetes; Boletales; Rhizopogonaceae.